RNAcentral lists this ribosomal RNA (368 nucleotides) under uncultured organism. RNAcentral describes it as "bacterial SSU rRNA". It matches the Rfam family "Bacterial small subunit ribosomal RNA", at positions 526 to 896 of the family's 1533-position model. The record is from RNAcentral.
CGAAGGGGGCUAGCGUUGCUCGGAAUCACUGGGCGUAAAGCGCACGUAGGCGGCUUUUUAAGUCAGGGGUGAAAUCCUGGAGCUCAACUCCAGAACUGCCUUUGAUACUGAGAAGCUUGAGUCCGGGAGAGGUGAGUGGAACUGCGAGUGUAGAGGUGAAAUUCGUAGAUAUUCGCAAGAACACCAGUGGCGAAGGCGGCUCACUGGCCCGGUACUGACGCUGAGGUGCGAAAGCGUGGAGCAAACAGGAUUAGAUACCCUGGUAGUCCACGCUGUAAACGAUGGAUGCUAGCCGUUGGCGGGUUUACCCGUCAGUGGCGCAGCUAACGCAUUAAGCAUCCCGCCUGGGGAGUACGGUCGCAAGAUUA